AUACGUAGGUGGCAAGCGUUGUCCGGAAUUAUUGGGCGUAAAGCGCGCGCAGGCGGCCCCUUAAGUCUGAUGUGAAAGACUGCGGCUUAACCGCAGAGGGGCAUUGGAAACUGAGGGGCUUGAGUGCAGAAGAGGAGAGCAGAAUUCCACGUGUAGCGGUGAAAUGCGUAGAGAUGUGGAGGAAUACCGGUGGCGAAGGCGGCUCUCUGGUCUGUGACUGACGCUGAGGAGCGAAAGCGUGGGGAGCGAACAGGAUUAGAUACCCUGGUAGUCCACGCCGUAAACGAUGAAUGCCAGGUGUUAGGGGGGUCCAACCCCUUAGUGCUGAAGUUAACACAUUAAGCAUUCCGCCUGGGGAGUACGGCCGCAAGGCUGAA
RNAcentral lists this ribosomal RNA (377 nucleotides) under uncultured bacterium. RNAcentral's name for it is "bacterial SSU rRNA". It matches the Rfam family "Bacterial small subunit ribosomal RNA", at positions 523 to 898 of the family's 1533-position model. The record is from RNAcentral.